GAUGAACGCUGGCGGCGUGCCUAAUACAUGCAAGUCGAGCGAACAGACGAGGAGCUUGCUCCUCUGACGUUAGCGGCGGACGGGUGAGUAACACGUGGAUAACCUACCUAUAAGACUGGGAUAACUUCGGGAAACCGGAGCUAAUACCGGAUAAUAUAUUGAACCGCAUGGUUCAAUAGUGAAAGACGGUUUUGCUGUCACUUAUAGAUGGAUCCGCGCCGCAUUAGCUAGUUGGUAAGGUAACGGCUUACCAAGGCAACGAUGCGUAGCCGACCUGAGAGGGUGAACGGCCACACUGGAACUGAGAAACGGUCCAGACUCCUACGGGAGGCAGCAGUAGGGAAUCUUCCGCAAUGGGCGAAAGCCUGACGGAGCAACGCCGCGUGAGUGAUGAAGGUCUUCGGAUCGUAAAACUCUGUUAUUAGGGAAGAACAAAUGUGUAAGUAACUAUGCACGUCUUGACGGUACCUAAUCAGAAAGCCACGGCUAACUACGUG
This 497-nucleotide ribosomal RNA is filed under the name uncultured bacterium. Its description in RNAcentral is "partial 16S ribosomal RNA". It matches the Rfam family "Bacterial small subunit ribosomal RNA", at positions 28 to 507 of the family's 1533-position model. The record is from RNAcentral.